GACGAACGCUGGCGGCGUGCCUAAUACAUGCAAGUUGAGCGCUCAAGGUUGGUGCUUGUUCCUCCUGGAUGAGCAGCGGACGGGUGAGUAACGCGUGGGGAAUCUGCCUAUGAGCGGGGGAUAACUUUGGGAAACCAGUGCUAAUACCGCAUAAUACAUUUAACCACAUGUUUCAAUAUUGAAAGAUGCAUUUGCUGCCCCUAAUAAAUUACCCCGGUUCGAUUUGUUUGUUGGGUAGGUAAAGGGCUACCCAGGGCAUCGAACAUACCCCACCUGGAAGGGUGAUAGGCCAAAAUGGGAAUGGGACACGGCCCAAGCUCCUACGGGAGGCAGCAGUAGGGGAUCCUCGGCAAUGGAGGAAAGUCUGACCGGGCAACGGCGCGGGAGUGAAGGAGGUUUUCGGAUCGUAAAACUCCGUUGGUAGGGAAGAACGUUAGGGAGAGUGGAAAGCGCAUCAAGUGACGGUAACUACUCAGAAAGGGACGGCUAACUACGUG
RNAcentral lists this ribosomal RNA (497 nucleotides) under uncultured bacterium. RNAcentral describes it as "partial 16S ribosomal RNA". It matches the Rfam family "Bacterial small subunit ribosomal RNA", at positions 28 to 507 of the family's 1533-position model. The record is from RNAcentral.